UGUCAAAAGUUUCUUCUGUCGACUAAAAAAUAAUUUAAAUCGAUUUUUAUCGGUUAAAAUUUAAGUAAAAAGGUAAGUUUUCCAAUGAGACUGAGGAGUGACGUUAGUUGUUCUAGGGGGGAGAGACGGGAAAAACCCGUCGCUUUCAUCGGGAGCUGCCUUCUCUCUCUCUCUAUUCCAAGAACUAGAGCUAAACUUAGACGCGAAUCCGGGAAUAUGUAUUUAUGGAGCAGUCUGGCCCGUUUGACUCGAAGCGUCGGCGGACCUCAAGCCUGCAUAAGACGUCCACAGCCAAUACUGGACCGUGAUCGGUCAAAAUCGGACAACUGAAGGAAUAUACGCAGCAGAUAUAGAGUCGAGUGCCGACUUCCAACCGAAAUAUGAGGCACCCGUCCGAAGAAGAGCGUCGGCGGAGAAAGAAUUAUUUGUAUAGUUAUAAAUAGCGGAUGGGAGGGCUCAUUCGCCCAGUGGUGGGUUGCGGCGGGGUUCCUUUCGGAACCUACACGCGUCGGACACUACUACAGAAUACAGCCGCCCUCCUCCACUUAUAGCACAGACGCGCCAUGUCUCUCCCAGUGGAAAGUAGAGGCUGAGAUUCAGACAGCAUGUCCUACAAUCCUUACUCCAACCGAUACUCCUACAGCUCGGCCGGAAAGCCGUACGGAUCUUAUGGUUCGACCUCCGGCCUUACUUCGGGAUACCAUUCUUCUUACGCUUCAGGGAGUACUUAUCAUCAUCAAAAUGGCGUCCACAAAGGAAUCGGUAAAACCCUCGGCAUUCCUUCUUAUGCCAGUUCGCUGAGGGUGUCUCCCGAUAGAUAUUCCCGUUCGAUAUCUCCAAGUAGAAAUCACGCUGGAGGACUGAAGGGCCUUCGAUCUUCUCUGUCGCACUGCAAAUCGACCCCUUCUCUGAUUUUAGGAUGCGACAACAACAAACUGACAGACGAAAAGUUCGCUUCCAGAUACGCAUCUUCUGGCUCUCUACCGGAAACUAGAGCUAGC
This 1001-nucleotide long non-coding RNA is filed under the name Androctonus crassicauda. Lineage: Eukaryota; Metazoa; Arthropoda; Arachnida; Scorpiones; Buthidae. The record is from RNAcentral.